AUUUGUUUGUUGAUGGUCAUCUAUUCAUCAUUCUGCAUAGUUUUUGCACCCAUUAUCCUAUGGUUAGAUGAACAUCAACAAACAUCUU
This is a non-coding RNA of Nicotiana sylvestris (wood tobacco), 88 nucleotides long. The record is from Rfam. NCBI's taxonomy places the organism in Eukaryota, Viridiplantae, Streptophyta, Magnoliopsida, Solanales, Solanaceae.